RNAcentral lists this unclassified non-coding RNA (425 nucleotides) under Hevea brasiliensis (rubber tree). The record is from RNAcentral. Lineage: Eukaryota; Viridiplantae; Streptophyta; Magnoliopsida; Malpighiales; Euphorbiaceae.
UGGAACUAAUGAAUUUUAUUUUUUAUUGCAUAUUAAAUAGGGGCAUAAAGUAAAUUAAUAAAUAAACUACUAUUCCAAUAUAGAAAAUGGACUAUAAUUCAUGGCAGGUGAAAAAAGAAAGUAAGCUUAUCUUUAUGGGACUGAGGGAGUAAUAAUCAUGUAUAACAAUUCAUGUUAAAAAGACAAAGCAAGAGUUUUGUCUUAUUCUAAUAAGUAGGAUGAUGAAAAUUGCACAGCCAUUUGAAUUACUAUUGACAGUUGCAAAAGAUCCUUACAACUAAAUUCCAUACACCUACUUAAUUACAUACAGCAAUUAGCAAAAUAACACAUUUAUCGCAUUAAAUAAUAUGGCAGCUACUAAUUAUUAUUACUACUGUCCCACAAAGAUAGGCUUCUAUUUUCAUAGUUUAAGAAAAUGUAGUUAA